RNAcentral lists this ribosomal RNA (468 nucleotides) under uncultured bacterium. RNAcentral's name for it is "partial 16S ribosomal RNA". It matches the Rfam family "Bacterial small subunit ribosomal RNA", at positions 28 to 507 of the family's 1533-position model. The record is from RNAcentral.
GACGAACGCUGGCGGCGUGCUUAACACAUGCAAGUCGAACGGAAAGGCCCUGCUUUUGUGGGGUGCUCGAGUGGCGAACGGGUGAGUAACACGUGAGUAACCUGCCCUUGACUUUGGGAUAACUUCAGGAAACUGGGGCUAAUACCGGAUAGGAGCUCCUGCUGCAUGGUGGGGGUUGGAAAGUUUCGGCGGUUGGGGAUGGACUCGCGGCUUAUCCGCUUGUUGGUGGGGUAUUGGCUUACCAAGGCUUUGACGGGUAGCCGGCCUGAGAGGGUGACCGGCAACAUUGGGACUGAGAUACGGCCCAGACUCCUACGGGAGGCAGCAGUGGGGAAUAUUGCACAAUGGGCGGAAGCCUGAUGCAGCAACGCCGCGUGCGGGAUGACGGCCUUCGGGUUGUAAACCGCUUUCGCCUGUGACGAAGCGUGAGUGACGGUAAUGGGUAAAGAAGCACCGGCUAACUACGUG